Molecule: long non-coding RNA, 2919 nt
Organism: Vespa velutina
Lineage: Eukaryota; Metazoa; Arthropoda; Insecta; Hymenoptera; Vespidae
Exons: 2
Source: RefSeq, a predicted model, not a curated record
UAUACGAGAGCGUACGCGUGCUCGGCUGGGCCGCGUGCUCCACCAAGAAGGAGCGAGAAAGAAAGAGAGAGAGAGAGAAAGAGAGAAAGAGAGAAAGAGAGAGAGAAGAGUGUUGUGUGCGACCAGUUGGCUUAAUAUGUGUAUGUACGUGAGUAUGUGAGAAUAUGUGAGCGAACAGGAACAGGUAUACACUCUAUCCUCUAUCCUCUAUCCUUCUCUCUGUUUCUCCCUGUCGAAAAAGUUCUCUCUGUUUCUCCCUGUCGAAACAGGAAGGGUCAGUGGACGAUCUUCGAAGGGCUCGCGUUUCUGUCCUGUGAUAAAUACGAUAGAAGUCUCACUCUGAACUAAGGGUGAUCUUCUACGAAGGAGGUUGUCGCACCAAGGACAGGAUCGGUGCGCCACGCUAAUAAUGGCGGUACCUGCGUCUCUGUGGUUAAGAAUUUGUCGCGCAGCGAGAAUUCAUGCGGCGAAGAAUCGCUCGACAGAAUCGUAAAUCUUUUGGAAAGAGAAUCGUCGUGGACCUUGCGGGCAACUAUAUUUGUAAAACGAGAAACACGGAUCGUUACGAACUGAGAUGGAUCUUUUGCAUUUGUUGGUACAAUCGAAUCAGUGAUCGGUAGUUGGACUUAACCUUGGACCCUUUCUUUUUUGAUAAAAUAUUACCAUGUAGAAUAAGUGUGAAUACGAUUAUUUGAAAAUCAUUCGUCCAUGAGGAUUCACAUACAUACAUAUAUCGGAAAAGAUACGAAGCAAAGAAGUAAUAUGUUGGGAUUAUAUAAGAAAAAGGAGCACUCUCUCCUUCGUUUUUAUGAGCUUACAAAUAAGGACACUCGAACCGGCCUUACGUCGUGCAUCGUACAUCGUAUUUUCUUCGGAUGUAAACAACGCUGUUCGAAGUACACAGGAGUUGAAAUAAAAAGUGUCCAUUAAAUCAAUAAAACGCUGCCCGGGGUGUGGAAGACGUAUCUGGUUCUUACACUUGCCGCUCCAUUCCGAUGUCACCUGGAGCGAGUUUUACAGUUUAAAUGGAUUGACCGUUUACAAGACACCACGGGGCGUCAUUCGUAGACAAUAAUCCAAACCUUUUUUCUUCCCCAUAAUCACUUGUAUUCGUAAACUCAGUCUAGACAUCAGGUAUUUUUGCGAAUACCUAUUCGAGUACGACCCCAAAAACUGCCACUUUUUCCGAGAAACGAAGCCAAUGACCGUCCUACAAACCAGUGUUAUCUUUUAGGCUUUUCUAGAGAUUGUGACACUGUUAAAAAUACUAAUAUUAUUUUGUUCAUAUAAUUCGGUAUAGAACAAUUUAAGCAAAAUAUUAUUAGGUUAUUACAGUAUUAUAGUAUUAUAACAGAAAUUAAGUACUUUAUUUUACCCCUAUAGUGUCAUUAAUUAUUUUAUUUAUACUUUUCACGAUUUUCACUUUAUUAGGAUAGGAUUAACGCAGACAUUAUACAUAUAUAAACAUCUUGGAAUACUCGAUGUAACAGGAUGCAAUAAAAUUAAAAGUUAAUCGUUUUCAGAUAUCAUAUUCAACGUUUACAUCGGACAUAGUCACUGAUUGUGUGUCGUUGAGAAUACAAUUAGAAUCAAUUUGAGCACGGUAAAAUCGCAGUAAACGCAACGAUACGCAUGAAAAGAUGACGUGGCACAGCUACGUUAAUUUUAAUACUCCCCGCACGAUGCAGGAUAAAUAAAAAGCAGAAAAAUAUGUAAGUAACGUGAAAACGAUACAAGAAGAUAGAAAGAGAGGGUAGAAAUUUUCUUGACCGAUCAUAAUAGCCUUAUUACCUUGAACCUUUGACUUAAGAAUUUAUACUAUAAUUAUAUUCCUGAAUAUCGGUACCCCGACUAUGUCUGACAACGCGCCGUUAAUUAUCGUGAAAUUAACUACCGGUCCGAGUGGCGAGAUGAGCGAUGCAUUGCCGCUGCCGCCAUUCUGAACACGUUAAAUUUUCUACGUUUUACCCUUUGCACCGGGUUCAACGCAGUGUCGGAUUAACAGAUGGAAGCUUCCUUGGGCUCCUGAAGGUUAUUUUCUUCUCGACCUGUCAGAUUCAUUCUUAUUCUUGUUUCGUAUAUUUUUCUCUGGAUCAUCUCAAUAUUCGUAACAACUUCAAAGUUUGUUAUAUUAAAAUUUUUAUUGUCGAAAAAGAUAAUAAUAAAUUUUGAAAUAAUAUGUUACUAUAAUCAAGUUGAUAUUUUUACUUAUCAUUUCAUAUGAUUAGUAUUUACAAAUAUGCAUGAUAAGUUUAUAUUUUUGCCACAAAUAAUAAAAAUCGAUUGACAUUAAUUUGAUUAGAAAAAUGUAAUGAAAUUGUUAUUGUUUGUGUCAUUUUCAAUGUGCAGGGUUACGAAGUAUACUUAGGCCUGUGCUGAUGGUGCAUCCGGCCUUUGAAGUAUAAAAGCAAGCGGCGUUUUAACGCCCGGGGCGCAAGUAGAUUCCUAGAUCAUUGUUAUGCGUGAUCAUAGAGAUUAAAAUCUUCCUAGUCGGCCAGAUAAAAUAUGGUCGAUUCUGACGAGUCGUUACAAUUUCUUUUUUUUUUUUUUUCGUUUUUCAUACCAUAACUGAAGACGCUUGCAUUUGCCCUAUUUGGAAUAUCCGUCAAUUAGUAGUCUUCAAAUUUAAUGAAACUUUACUACAGAUUGUUAUACAGAGCAGAUGAAAAUAACAAUUAUUUGCAAUAAUUUGUCUUAUGGAGUGAAAAUCAUCUAUAAAGUUGUAACUCUUUUUAAUCAUUUCGUGAACAAAUGGAUAUAGAAUAUUAAAUAGAAAAAAUUGCUUGAUUUCUUAUGAUUAUCACAAUGACAAAAUAAACUUUUUCAUAAAUUAUUAUUUCUUUUUCUUAAGAAAAAAUUAUUUGCAUGAUUUUUUGUAACAUAGAACUUUUUGUACGAAUAAAUUUUAUUAUUAAUUUA